AUAGGGAGGAUUCAGAGUCGUGGAUCCAGGGCCUCCUUGGCUAGAGCCGAGCACUUUCCGACUCCUGGCACCUGCCGACAUCGUGGGAAGGAAGCCGCUGCGUGACUUCGUCGUCACAGAACGCAGGCUGUAAAGCCUGUGACUCUUCUAAGCUCUGCCGAAGUUCACACGCGCCUCUCUGUUCGUUCGUGAAGCCUUUCUAGGGACCCUCCAGCAGCGCAUGGUGCCAGAAGAUCCCUGGUUUCAAAAAGGAGCUCUCGGGCUGAGUUGCCCUCUGCAAGUGUAUGUGUUGACAUCUCGAAGCCCAGGACCUCAAGAUGUGACUGCGUUUGGAGAGAGCAUCUUUAAAGAGCUGAUCAAGGUACAGUGAGGUCAGUAGGGCAGACCCAGAUGCCAGGGCUUGGGGGACACGAGGAAAUCAGGCACAGGCAGGCACCGAGAGAGGACCACACGAGGACCUAGGGAGAAGUUGCCAGUCUGCAGGCCAUGCAGAGAGGGAGCGGCCUGCCCACACCUUUGUCUGGGAGCGGCAGCCCCAGGACAGGGAGAGAGAGUCUUGG
This 560-nucleotide long non-coding RNA is filed under the name Neogale vison (American mink). Its description in RNAcentral is "Neovison vison (American mink) lncRNA (ENSNVIG00000008796.1)". Lineage: Eukaryota; Metazoa; Chordata; Mammalia; Carnivora; Mustelidae. The record is from RNAcentral.